UCCGUAGGUGAACCUGCGGAAGGAUCAUUCACAAACGAGUGUUUUAUGGCACUCUUUAAAAAUCCAUAUCCACCUUGUGUGCAAUGUUUGUUGGGAAAGUCUUUUCUUUCCCUUCAUAAAUAUCAACCUAUAUCUUUAACAACAUUCGUCUGAUAACAUAUUAUGAAUAUACUUAAUUCAAAAUAUAACUUUCAACAACGGAUCUCUUGGCUCUCGCAUCGAUGAAGAACGCAGCGAAAUGCGAUACGUAAUGUGAAUUGCAGAAUUCAGUGAAUCAUCGAAUCUUUGAACGCAUAUUGCGCUCUUUGGUAUUCCGAAGAGCAUGCUUGUUUGAGUAUCAGUAAACACCUCAACCUCUCUUUUUUGAUAAAAAAAAGGGAGGGUGGACUUGAGCUAUCCCAACGACCUUCACCGGUAGGCGGGCGGCUUGAAAUGCAGGUGCAGCUGGACUUUUAUCUGAGCUAAAAGCAUAUCUAUUUAGUCCUCGUCAAACAGGAUUAUUACUUUUGCUGCAGCUAACAUAAAGGAUAAUUGUCCUCUUUGCUGACUGAUGCAGGAUUUUACGACACUUUAUGUGUUGUUCAACUCGAUCUCAAAUCAAGUAAGACUACCCGCUGAACUUAAGCAUAUCAAUAAGCGGAGGA
RNAcentral lists this ribosomal RNA (644 nucleotides) under Mortierella zonata. RNAcentral's name for it is "eukaryotic LSU rRNA". The stretch from base 187 to 340 matches the Rfam family "5.8S ribosomal RNA". The record is from RNAcentral. Lineage: Eukaryota; Fungi; Mortierellomycota; Mortierellomycetes; Mortierellales; Mortierellaceae.